Vitis vinifera (wine grape) is the source of this 2357-nucleotide RNA transcript. RefSeq lists it as uncharacterized. The record is from RefSeq and is a predicted model, not a curated record. NCBI's taxonomy places the organism in Eukaryota, Viridiplantae, Streptophyta, Magnoliopsida, Vitales, Vitaceae. The transcript is spliced from 6 exons.
CACUAAUAGUAGUUAAACCAAAAUAAAUAAGGGUACAAUACAAAUGCCCUAUAUUUACAAUACAAUUGCACUAGAAGUACAAUAUAUUACAACAUUACUUGAUUCAUUAUACAUUUAAUUAUGACAAUUGAUUAUUUGAUAUAAAUUCCAUAGUGCAGUGUGGAGUAUAAUACAUGGAUAAAAGGAAAAAAACAAUACAAUACAACCAGGUUUGAACAUUAUUUUAAUUAGUAUUAUUUUAUUUUGACUAUAUUAAUGUUUGACAUUGUUGUUUAAUUUGACUGUUUUAAUUUUAAUUUUAUAUUAUCAUUUAUUUACUUUUACAGGAGGUCAAAAUAAAUAAUCGAUGCUCCAGCAAAAAACUUAGACAUCUACUUGAUGAGCUAAGUGAUGAAAAGAAGAGUAUAAUUCAACAUAUUGGCUUUGGUGGAUUACUUCAGCUCUCUUCCACAGAGAUAAGGCAUAGUUUAUGUAGAUGGAUAAUAACUCAUUUCAAUAUAGCCCACUGUAGGUUAGACAUAGGACAAGAAAGGCAAUUUCCAAUAACUUGUUCUGAUGUAGGUGAAAUUCUGGGUAUUCCAUAUAUUGGUAGGAGGCUCCUACUUUCACCUACUAAUAGGAAUAAUAGGAUGGAAAACCUAUCAGAUCUUAGAGAUAGGCUGAUUUUAAUGGAAGACAUGGCCGAGUUCAAAAAAUUGUUUAUCUUCUUCUCAUGUGCUACAUUACUUGCUCCAACAUCAAAGUUGGAUAGUAGUCAUGAGUUGUGGUGUACUUUGCUUGCUGGAGACUUUGACAUCAAUGUUAAUUGGGGUCAAUUUGUACUUGACACACUGGUUGCUGGAAUUAGACAUUUUCGAUUGGGUAAAGGCUCAUGGUUUACAGGUUGCCUUAUUUUUUUACAGCUUUUUUAUGUAAAUAAAUUUUACAUUCCAACCAUGUUGGUACCACGUACCAUCCCAAUAUGUGCAGCGUGGACUGAUGACUUGAUGAAGAAAAGGGUGCAUGCGGAAUUGCAUGAUUAUGGUGAUUUUGGACUAGCUGAUGUUCAAGAAGAUGAAAGGGAGGAAGAUGCACAUGAAGACCCUGGUAAUCCAGUAAAUGAAGUUGAAGAAGAGACUAUUGAUUUGAGAACCUUCUACAUCUAUUCUUUUAUUUAAAGCGAAAACCAAACAUGUUAUGCAUAAUAAUAUAGAUCUUUGACACUUUGUACCAUUUUGUAGGAAAUUAUAGCAGAAUAUAAUGCAGCAGAGAGACAAAUUCACCAAUUGCUUCGAACAAUGAGAGGAGCAAUUGGUAAACUAGCAAAGCGGCAGAAUACAAAUAAAACCCCAUCAUCUUUUCAUCAAAGCAGAAGUCAUAAUCAACCUGAUAUCAAUGAUUCUUUCCCAUCACCACCACAUGCUUAUGGAUCGCCACUGAAUGAUCGUUUUGCUGAUGGUGAAGAUAAUGUAGGCCCAUCAACCUCAUAGCCAGCAGCGCAGCAUAGCAGUAUACUUUUUGCUUCUUUAUGUUUUAAUAUCAAAAUAAUAAUGAGUAUAUAAUAAUGGCUAGUAUUUCCUGUGCGUGUUAUUUUCAUUAGUGAAUUUUAUUUUAUUUUAUUUUCUAUACAUAUAGUUGAGGAUGAAGUUCAGAUGAAUGCUAUUAUUCCUUACGAGACUGGACAUCCUCUAAUACGUUCAUAUCGGCUACGUCGACAUGCUACUGCCCUACAAUCACCAUAUGUGGUACAACCGUCAAUCAAAUUUUUAGCGUCUUCAUCUGUAGCAAAGCAAGUUUUGGCAUAUGCAUUGGACGAUACACGUGAUGAAAGCCAAAUAUUAUGUUCCAUGCACAAUUUCUUCUUGACAAGGUUUGACUUGAAAUGCUUGGGACCCGACAAAUUGGUUGACAAUAAGGUAUUCAUAUUUAGUUAUGUGAAGUUAGGAUAAAAUUACUCUAAAACUAUAUAUCUAAUUUUCAUUAAUUUACAUGAAGGUUGUAACCAUGCAUUGUCGAAUUUUGAAUGGUAUGGAUAAAGAAAAUAGGAAGCAUUUCUUAUCUCCAAACUUUGUGGUAAGAUAUGUUGUAAGAAUUAUAGAUUGGUUUUCUUGUUUUACGUAGAUUGUUUUAAUCUAAUGUAUGGCUUGUAAUUUUUUUAUUACAGUAUGAUGUGGAAAACAAGAGGGGUUCCUUAUCUCCAAAAUACAUAUGUGACAAUUUAUGGAAAUAUUUCAAAAAUACUCGGUUGUGCACAUAUGAACAGUUGUUCAUACCAAUAUGCAGGAAAAAUCAUUGGUAUUUAAUCAUUUUGAAUAUUCAUGCGAAAAGAAUAGAGUUGUUGGAUUCAUUAAUUGACGGAAGGAAAAAACGGAUGGAUG